AAAGUCGUAACAAGGUUUCCGUAGGUGAACCUGCGGAAGGAUCAUUACUGCUUGCUUAUGGCCGUCUGGGUGGGGAAACCCCCUCGACGGUACGGCAACAUACCCUUGACUAUGUAUACCUAUCGUUAUUUCCCUCGGCGGAGCAAUCCGCCGCUGGGGACACCACAAACUCUUGUAUAAAGCAUUUAAAAUUCUGAAACAAACUUGAAAUAUCACAACUUUCAACAAUGGAUCUCUUGGUUCUG
Molecule: unclassified non-coding RNA, 245 nt
Filed under: fungal sp.
Lineage: Eukaryota; Fungi
Description: partial contains small subunit ribosomal RNA, internal transcribed spacer 1, and 5.8S ribosomal RNA
Rfam family: Eukaryotic small subunit ribosomal RNA (bases 1-47)
Source: RNAcentral